ACUCCUACGGGAGGCAGCAGUGGGGAAUAUUGGACAAUGGGCGAAAGCCUGAUCCAGCAAUACCGCGUGUGUGAAGAAGGCCUUAGGGUUGUAAAGCACUUUCAAUUGGAAGGAAAAACUCAUGGCCAAUACCCAUGAGCUUGACAUUACCUUUAGAAGAAGCACCGGCUAACUCCGUGCCAGCAGCCGCGGUAAU
This 196-nucleotide ribosomal RNA is filed under the name uncultured bacterium. RNAcentral describes it as "partial 16S ribosomal RNA". It matches the Rfam family "Bacterial small subunit ribosomal RNA", at positions 335 to 524 of the family's 1533-position model. The record is from RNAcentral.